RNAcentral lists this ribosomal RNA (208 nucleotides) under Centropyge bicolor (bicolor angelfish). RNAcentral's name for it is "partial 16S ribosomal RNA". Lineage: Eukaryota; Metazoa; Chordata; Actinopteri; Pomacanthidae. The record is from RNAcentral.
GCCGAAAAGCUAGCCCGCACCCCCAAAAACAACAAAUCACUAUUAAUAACCCCUAAUAAAUUAACCCCUUAACCAACAAACCAUUUUACCCCCCUAGUAGAGGCGAUAGAAAAGGAGCCACGGCGCUAUAGAGAAAGUACCGCAAGGGAAAGCUGAAAGAGAAAUGAAAUAGCCCAGUUAAGCAUAAGAAAGCAGAGAUUCUAGCUCG